This 834-nucleotide small RNA is filed under the name Nigroporus vinosus. RNAcentral's name for it is "eukaryotic LSU rRNA". The stretch from base 263 to 416 matches the Rfam family "5.8S ribosomal RNA". The record is from RNAcentral. Lineage: Eukaryota; Fungi; Basidiomycota; Agaricomycetes; Polyporales; Steccherinaceae.
AAGUCGUAACAAGGUUUCCGUAGGUGAACCUGCGGAAGGAUCAUUAUUGAAUGAAUUCGAGUCUUACGGUUGUCGCUGGCCUCUCGGGGCAUGUGCACGCCCGGCUCAUUUCCAUCCUUCACACCUCUGUGCACUUUCCCAUGGGUCGACAUGAUUCGGAAGUCUCGAGAGAGACGACUGGAUUUUUUUGGCCUGUGUGUUCUACAACAUACACCUGUCUGUCUCAGAAUGUAUACUUGUCAUGCAUGAAUGCAUAUAAUACAACUUUCAACAACGGAUCUCUUGGCUCUCGCAUCGAUGAAGAACGCAGCGAAAUGCGAUAAGUAAUGUGAAUUGCAGAAUUCAGUGAAUCAUCGAAUCUUUGAACGCACCUUGCGCUCCUUGGUAUUCCGAGGAGCAUGCCUGUUUGAGUGUCAUGGUAUUCUCAACCCUCCUGUGGUUUUUGUUUUUGCAAAGUCUGCAGGCUUGGGAUUGGACUUGGAGGUUUUAUUGCCGGGCUUCCCUCUUUCGAAGCUUGGCUCCUCUGAAAUGCAUUAGCUUGAAUGAUUUUUACCCAAGCAUGAUCCAGCGUGAUAAUUGUCUACGCUGCCUCAUCGUGGUGAAACAACCUUGGUUGUUUUCGUUCAGGCUUCGAACUGUCCCCUCCGGAGACAAACUUUAUCUGAACAUCUGACCUCAAAUCAGGUAGGACUACCCGCUGAACUUAAGCAUAUCAAUAAGCGGAGGAAAAGAAACUAACAAGGAUUCCCCUAGUAACUGCGAGUGAAGCGGGAAAAGCUCAAAUUUAAAAUCUGGCAGCUUUGCUGUCCGAGUUGUAGUCUGGAGAAGCGUUUU